CACAGAGUUAGCCGGUGCUUAUUCUGCGAGUAACGUCCACUAUCCAGUAGUAUUAAUACUAGUAGCCUCCUCCUCGCUUAAAGUGCUUUACAACCAAAAGGCCUUCUUCACACACGCGGCAUGGCUGGAUCAGGCUUCCGCCCAUUGUCCAAUAUUCCCCA
This 161-nucleotide ribosomal RNA is filed under the name uncultured bacterium. RNAcentral describes it as "partial 16S ribosomal RNA". The record is from RNAcentral.